GGAGUACAGUGGCACAAUCUUGGCUCACUGCAACCUCCGCCUCCCGAGUUCAAGCCAUUCUCCUGCCUCAGCAUCCUCAGUAGCUGGGACUACAGGCGUGCACCAAUGUGCCCAGCUAAUUUUUGUAUUUUUUGUAGAGACGGGGUUUCACCAUGUUGGCCAGGAUGGUCUCAAUCUCUUGACCUCGUGAUCCACCUGCCUUGGCCUCCCAAAGUGCUGGGAUUACAGGCGUGAACCACCACGCCCAGCCCUACUCAAAAAGAUUUUAAUAUAAAUAUUUGAGAGACAAUAAAAGUAUACACUUGAACUUUUGCUAGGAUGAAGUAGGGGACAUUCAACAAAACAUUUUGUUGAGGAAAAUUCUAUAAACCAAGUCUUGAUGCUACUUGUGUAUCUAAAUAAGAUUAAAAAGUCUGACAUCAAGUGGCUAAAAAUUCCAUGGUAAAACUAAUAAAUUUACAAUUAAUAAUACUACUAUUAUGUAACUAGUGUUAGGUAAUGUAAUAAAUAAAGUAUAUAUAUACAAAGCAAGUAGAUAAUAAUUUGGUGAAAGAAGAUUAAGUUGGGAUGUUGAGGUGCUGAAAUUUUCUAGACAAUGCAUAAAAUUUUACAUUAAGAAUGAUUAUUAAGUUGAUCUAUUCAAACAAAAUAUUUUUAAAGAGCCAACCAGUUACUUCAUAAGGUGUAGACACUGAAUUUCAAUAUCAGGCAUCGAGAUCCUUUAUCACAUUCUUUUUUAGCUGAAGUCAAAAUAUUUCCCUAUUGAACUGAAUUUAAAUUACCUCAUACAUAACUUCUAAUGUUGUUUUUAAUAUUCAAAAGUUCUGUUCCUUGCAAGACUGGUAUGUGUGUGCACAUGCUCUUAUAUGUGUGUGUCUGUGUGUGUAUCUGUGUAAAUGCAAUGAAAAGAACUAUAGAAGUUCUUUCUAAUCUAAUCUGAAUUUAGUUCCAAUACCUACCAUUCUGCAUCAGCAAAUAAAUUACUUUCAUUUUUAUGGUAGAGAGAAUUCAUGUUUUAUGGGUUAUAACCUGGAACUCAGUUGAAAAUCUUCACAUUAAGGUAUCUGGAUCCCUCAUGUCUACAAAAGGCAAGGCUAAGUUUACAUGAUUUUCCAGCAUAGAAGGGCAUCCCAGUGGGCGUGGUGGGUGGCUUCUCACACUUUCUAGCCUGCACAGGAUGGACUCUGCUGCCGUCCAUGGCUCCAGACAUCCAAAACACUGGAUUUUCUCUGUCAGUCCUAUUGUGCCAAGUUAGCACUGCAAGCCACUAUUUAUUUUAAAAAGUUGAUAAUGACCGUAGUCACGGGGAGUGCUUUCAGUGAUAAACAGACUUGAAAAAUGCCAUUUCCCUAGUUGUCAUUUUUGUCUUUUCAGUAUUACAUAAUAGCAAGCAUAUUCUAGGGAACGAAAAUGGCUAGGUAUUUGUAAUAUAUGUCACUCAGUGUUUCCAUUCCCAUCAUGGUGUGGAAUGUUUAAUUUCUAAACCCUAAGAGCUUAAUGACUACUGGUUAUUUUCUCUUCUCUACAAACAUUACCUGUUCCAGUUGCAGUUCAUGGAAUUCUGCCCAUAUAAUAAACAGUAAUAGAUGAAUCCCCCUCAGGGUAUUCUCUGUUUCUUGGUUGAACAGAUAAUUUCUAAGUUACUUUUCCACUUAAGGUAAUAUGAUUUUAUUUGGAUACCAGGGCUUGCAAAUGUGGCCUUGCAAAGUUUUUUAAUUGCAGUUAGUUUUCUAUAGUAAUUCCUUUUAGCAAGGCAUGCCCUUAUCUCAAUGCUUAUCCUUACCCUCACCAUCAAAAUGCCCUCAGAGUUACUAAUUGAAGUACUAUUGGACAGAAUAUUACAUUAAUACAGAGAAGAUUAUCCUUCAGGAAAGUGACAAGACUGAGGGAAAAUUAAGAAUAGUAGAUACUAGUGAAGAAUUUAUAUCUAGGUUGUAAUGCUGUCCUAGAAUGUCCUGAUCUUAUAAUUCAAUACACUAUGCACACAUAUUUCAUUUUAUAACAUAAAUGUGUGCUAAAACAUUGUGAUUAAAUAUCCAUUUCAAUAUCAAUAACUGAAUGGGAAAAAAUCACCGCUGAUUUUAGAAAUUUCAAGGUUGUUCCUUCAGCAAAGCAGAGAAUCCCUUUAUGUUAAUAAUGUCUGUCAACCUUAUUAUCUAAAAUGUUGUUUUCCCCUGCAUGAAAUUUUCUGUACAUGAAAAAUACUUGUUCUAUAUCAAUUUUUAAAGUGAAAUACUUGAUUUGUAUUGUUAAGUGUAACAUUGAACAGUAUUCAAAAGUGGACUUGUUCUAUUGCCCUUCUGGGUGUGGCUAGAAGAUGGUAUUCAGCCACAUCCUGCUACACCGUAAUAAAACACAUGCAUAUUCCAAAUUCAAA
Molecule: long non-coding RNA, 2377 nt
Filed under: Homo sapiens (human)
Lineage: Eukaryota; Metazoa; Chordata; Mammalia; Primates; Hominidae
Description: non-protein coding lnc-KIN-11:1
Source: RNAcentral